CAGAGAGGAUCCUUAACAGAAUCACUGAGGGAGAUUCUGACAUGGAGUUAUCAGAGGAUGAGAGUCCAGAGAGAGUAUGAGACAGAAGAGGGUGAAAGCUCGGGUGAGGAGGACCCAGAUGAGACAGAUGAUCUCCUGUUGAAGGAAGAAGGAAGACUCUUUUCUCUUGUGUUUUGUACGCUGCAGGAAUCCUGACUGGUUUUUUAGUACCCCGAACAACCCCUCUUGCUACACCCUUUUGGAACCCUUGGAUACCCCCUUUGGAUUGCCCCCAUCAUCGCCCUGGAUUUGGAUUCAUCAUCAUUGCCUCUACAUUAACUUGCCCCUGUGAUUGUGGGGGUGGGACAAAUAUUCUUCUUCGACUGUCAUAAAGUCCUCGUUACCUGACCGGGAAUCGAACCCGGGCCGCGG
Molecule: long non-coding RNA, 411 nt
Organism: Lampris incognitus (smalleye Pacific opah)
Lineage: Eukaryota; Metazoa; Chordata; Actinopteri; Lampriformes; Lampridae
Exons: 4
Source: RefSeq, a predicted model, not a curated record